Molecule: long non-coding RNA, 212 nt
Filed under: Elaeis guineensis (African oil palm)
Lineage: Eukaryota; Viridiplantae; Streptophyta; Magnoliopsida; Arecales; Arecaceae
Description: long non-coding RNA (EGUI_LNC066712)
Source: RNAcentral
CCUGUGACUCCUCACUAGGACUACCCUGGCCAAGGUUUUGCUAAAUUGAAACACGACUGUACACAGCUCCUGAACUGGAGUGGUCAAUCUCAUCUUGACACACGCACCAACAAGUCAAGUACUUGACUACACCCAGCAGCCUUCCGUCACUGAAUUAGAAAUUCAGGUAGUCCAGUGCCUAAGUGCAGUGAGUUGCUUGCAAGUCACCAUGG